ACAUUUUACUAGCAAGGUAAAUAAUAGACAAUUUUUUUUUUUAAAAUCUAAAAUAUAAGUUAUACACAAAAUUAUAUUUUUACUAAUGAAUCAGAUAUGCCAAUUUAAUAUCCCCUUUAGACCCUUAUCGUGCCUUGGGUCGCGAACGCGUUAAAAUAUAAUUUUUGUUCUCACCGACAUACUUUGCGGCAACUGAAAUAAGGAGAACGGAAAUUGGGGAAGCACUGUAACGGCUACUCACACAUAUGACAAGGGAGCGUCGACGCACACGGGAAGAAGGUGAAGAGCCGAACCAGAAGAAUCACGCAGGCGAGGGAAUCGGGAAACCUUGCAAUUGCGGGGCUGUCUGAGAAGGGGGUUCGCGCAUUCCUCGAGACGGGGAUCGGGUGGUAUCGAUGAAGGGUUGAGGUUGAGGGAUGCUUUUGGGAGAAGGGGCAUAAAGAAGCAGCUAGGGUUUCGACUGGAAGCAGGGAGGUUCUGGAUAUUCGCUUCCCAGGGUUUUGCGCAGAGAGUUUGGGGGUUUCUCGGUUUUCUUGUCGGAUUGUGGGGAAAAAAGGAGAGGGGGCUUCAGUCAAUUUUUUCCUUACCUAAUUCUCAGUGAAGAGCUAUCUCGGUUCAAGGAGAGGGAGCGAGAAGCAUUCAGUACAGGGGCGGUAACGCUCGAGUGAUUGACAUUUUCUCUGGAGUCCUCUUCUUCUUUCUGAUCAGCUCUCGAGAUGAGGAGAGAGAGUGUUUGACAUAAACGAAUAGUGUGAACGGAGAGAGAAACCGGAUUUUUCUGUUCCUUCUGUCAGGUUUCGAAAGAAGAGGAGAAUCGAGUGAAGAAGAGGAGAGACUUGUCAUAGUACACAGAAUAUCAGGGAGGGGAGAAUGAAAGCAGGGAGUAGAAUCUAAAGAAGAAGAAGAAGGAGAAGAAGAAAGGAAGCACAACCAGAUAAAGAAACAGGAACAGUAGUGUGGUAGUCUUCUACAGAAACUUGACAGCAAAUUGGUGCGUUUCCAUUGAACACCUCUUGCUUAAUUCAUGCAACUUGUCGAAGAGCUCUCCCUUGAGUGUAUAUUGGACUGAAUCAAGAUGAUUGUAUCUUACAUUGUCUUUGAUCUCAUGACUAUGAAUGCCUUUCAAUGAAAUUGUUUGGUGAUGUUUUAUAUUCAUGUUAUAAGCUGUUUGAAGAUCCUUCCGUUUUGUCUCUGGUUUUGUUUGAGAUUUACUCAUUAUUUUGGCUCAGUUAAAUGAAUAUUCAGAUGCUAAUUACUGUACUCAAAUUUUUUCCUGUAUUGAUUUCUUUCUCAUCUUAAUAAUGCUUCUUUUUCUAUUAAAAAAAUGCUUUUUUUUUCUUUUCUUUUUAUUCUCUUGAUAUGCAUCAUGCCUUCAGAUAUGGAUGCAAUAGUGGGGGUUUGGCAUGCAGGAUGUAUAAGUUUUCAUUCUAAUAUAGUUUAAAGAAUUGAUGUUGAGUUAUUGGUGAGAACUAGUUGUUCGUACAGUGUUCAAUGACCUGUAUCUGAUUGAAUGGAAAUGUUAAUGUUCCUCACUUUUUUUUGGUCCCAUCUAGUUUUAAUGAUGGACUGUGGUUUCCAUUAUGUCUAGUGGUGAUUUGUGGACAUUGCACCUUGUUUUAGGUCUGCUAGAGCUAGAAUACUGUCUGUUUUACCAUCACUUUGAAUUAUCAUAUCUCCUUUACUUCUUUUGAUGAUUGAAUUUGAAUGUAUCGUAUGUUAAGAGUUAUAAAUGUGCUGUCCUUUUUGAAAAUGAGUUAUGAUCAAUGGUACAAAUAUUCAACCGAUGAAUUUAUGGAGUUUGGGUACGAGUUAGCAUGGAAGAAAUAUGGGUAUAUGGUUAAUAUCUUUAUUUUUCCAUGCUUUAUUUUGUUAUGCAGGCAUACUUGCUGCCCAAACAGGUGUUUAUAGGACAUAUUGUAUGUUGUUGUUUUGCACAAGUAAUUUUUCUGGGUUGUUUAGUUGACAAAGUAGACACUGAUUUUUGGGAAUCAUCUCGGACUUAUCCUUGCUGUCCAUAUUUGGCACUGCACAUUUCCAGAUUUGCCAUACAGUCUUGGUUCCUUUGGGUAUUUGAUUUGCAUAGUUCGCAGGCUAAACGUUGUCUAGUGCAUGUCGGAUGAUUCAGGGUGUUGCAUGGUUAGGACAUUCUCUUGGCAAGUAGCACAUAGAUAUUGUCAUUAAAUCACUUAGAUGGCAGUUAAUGGUUUAUUUUUCUGCUUCUUCUUUCUUUCCUUUAUUUUGUGUAUAUAUAUUGCAUUUGAUGAUUGAUUCUCUUAGUGGUGUUUGAGGCUUAUGUUAAAGAAAAGGCGAAUUAGGUUAAAGAGUAUAAAGGUAAAAUACACCAUAUGUAAUUAUUUGUUUAUUUUAUUUUUUAUUUUACAAAACUUGUUUAUAUGAGAUUAUAAUAUUCAAUAAAAUACACAUAAAUCAUUCUUAAUAUGGUAUCAGAAUCCUAUCCUAGGAGAUCUUAGACUCUUUUAAAAAUUAUAUUCAAUCAUAAAGGGGGUCAACCCUCAUUUUCGGCCACCAAAUGUGGGCUACCGCAAGCCGACCAUCUCCACCACAAGCCCACAUUGUAGCCAACCAUCUCCACCAAGACCAACCUUCAUCGCUUGAUCCAGUUUGCCUAGAUGCCCAUAGCCCAACCAUGGUCACUCUCAGUCACGUAGUUCACUUAGAUGCACACAACCCAAUUGUGGUUGCUCUUAGUCGUGUAGUUCGCCACCAUCUGCUAAUUUGGAAAAGUUAUUUAGAUGUUCUAGUUUGGAAAAGUUUACUAUUUCUUAGUAUAAUUCUAGCUAUUCCUAAUUCUACUAGUUUACUAUUUCUUAGUUUAAUUUUAGUUUAGAAAAGUUAUUUAUAAAUUGUUAUAAGUAGUCUCAAAUUUCAUUGUUGAUCAUUUCAAGUUAUUCAAUAAUGUUUUUGAUAGUUUUUCUUUUUUUUUUUUGGUUAUGUGAUGCACUCAUAUCCUUAAGUUUGAUGUUUUAGACUUGUCAGUAAGGAAUCCUAGGUGUGAUAUUUAGGUCUUUUUUUUAUCUCCAAGUCCCUAAUUGGACAAAUUAACCCUAUUUGUCCUACAUUGUUGCCAGUUGAAGUGGGUAACUAGAGAUAACAAAAUUCACAUUAUGUUCAUUUUUGAAAUUAGAGUGGAUAUUUCUUAAUAGUCUAUUCCAUAAUAUUUUGGGUAUAUUCUUUGGCUAUUAGCCUUACUUUGUACCAUUCUAUUGUUUCAUUUGCUCUGUAUUUUAUGGUAAACACCUACAUGCAUCCUACAAGCUUAUUUCUUUUGGGCAAGUCCACUAUAUCCCAUGUUUGAUUCUUUUCUAGUGCGGAUAUUUCAACAAUCAUGAAAUUCUUUUUAUUUUUUAUAAGAUAAUGUCUCAGAUGUAGUGAUGAGAAUAGACUAAGUAUUAGGACUCAUCAGAAAAUUCUUGUAGGAUUGCGAACAUUUUUCGAAGAACACAAACUAUGGGAUCGUACGCAAUUGAUGUUUGUUGUAUUACUUGGUUUACGGAUUAUAAUGAACACAUCAAUACUAGGUUGUAUAGGGUUUUUAGGACUUAUCUUAGUUCUAUAACUUAUUUCUUAUGCUUGAACUUGCCUUAGCUCAAGACCUGAGUUCUUCCCCAUUGACUAUGCUUUAGUAAAUCUUGGAUCAUGUAAGAUUUCAUUGGUAGGUUGAGUUUGAGGUUUUUCUUAGGUGGUAAAGCUGGUGCGGUGAUAAAUUUGGAAAGUUGAGGUCAACUGAAAGAUCUUUAUCCUUAUUUUCUAAUACAGGUCCCCUCUAAAGAUAAAGUCGGGUAAAAUAGGAUUUUGUCUCAACAAAAGCUCUAAGAUACAUAGAAUUUUUGUAUAGAUAGAUGAUAGCACUUGUGCCCCCUUGAGAAGAGGAGUGCCCUACAAACGCACAAUUUAAAGCUCUAGGAUCAAGUUUCCUUCUCUGAUUGGAAGGGAUAGGAACAAAUGCUACACAUCCAAAUAUCAAAGGAACUAGAUGGGCUAUGAUACUGAUUUUUGGUUAAAAUUUGGAGGUUUUACAAAAGACUUUUAAAAUUAAGAACAAUGAAAGGUAAUUGAUUGAUGUUGUAGGUAGCUUUAAGGAUUGCUUCUCCCCAAUACUAUUUGGGAAUAUGAUUUUGGAAUAAGAAGGUUUGGAUAAAGGAGGCGACUAUUUUUUUGUUCUACCACCCCAUUUUGUUGUGGAGUGUGGAUAAAUGGUGAUUCAUGACUAAUUCCUUUUUAGUUGAAAAAGGAAGACAAUGUCCGAUUAAAAAAAAAAUCUUUUGCGUUGUCAGUGAGAAAUCUUUUAUGUAGGUACCAAAUUGGGUUGUGAUUAUUUUGCAAAAUUGAGGUAUUACGUGAUCCAAAUUCGAUUUGGUUUAAGUGAAAAGAUUCAUGUGUCUCUUGUGCAAUCAUCAAUAAACUAUAUAAACCAUUGAGCUUCAGAUAUAUUACAAGUGUGGGCAGUCUAAAUUAAUGAAGAAAGAAACUUACUCCUUUUAUUACUACUGGAAAAUAUUAUAUGCUUAUGUUUAGCAAACUCGUAUAUGUUGCAAUAUAAAUAUUCUAUUAACAGAGUUUUUAAAUAAAAAAGGAAACAUGACCUUUAAAAUUGAAAAGGAAGGAUAACCAAGUUGAUUCGUGGUAAAGUCAGAGCUUGGUAGUGGAGUCAGUAGUUGUGGUAGAAAGCCAUUAUUAUUAAAUCAUCUUCAUUUGUAUAUUAAUAUUUGGAUCUCCUGGUUUUGGUUUGGUGCCCAGAAUGUAACUGAUUUUUCCUUUCUUUAGAACGGUCCAAAUCAGAAUGUGACUGGCUAUGCAGGGGGCUGGUUAUGGGUUUUUUUGGCUAGAAUCAGCUAGUUGUGCAACCAUUUCCGGCAGGAGGCAGGUCUCGCAACCACUGGUGAGCCGUCUCUGCUGGUGAGUAAUUGCUGGUGGCAGCGGCUUGACUUCCUUCGAUGGCUGGUGUUGUGAAAAAGUUUAGUGUUUCUUAAUUUAGAACUCUGAUAUCGUGUCAGGAAUAAUUAUGUUGUAUUUAUUGAAUAAUAUGUCCCUAUAUAUACAAUUUCUAGAGAUAAGAAAGGGAAAGCUAGAAUUAGUUACAAAGAGCAUACUUUACUUCAAUAUCCUUUAACCUAGUUUAACCCUAAUUACACAUAAAGUACAUUUUUAACAACAAUCAACUUCUCUUCCUUUUUAUUAAUAAAGGUGAUGCCCUAUGGUUUUUUGUACGUGGGUAUGCCCUCGUGGUAUCUUGUGAAUAAUACUUUUUACUUAUGUGCUAAUAACUAUUAUACUUAUGUACUGAUUAAGCAGCCCAACCUGGUCAAUCACUCCAAGAGUUUCAAAAUUCUUUUAGAGGACACCAGCCCUGCCACCUCUAAAAGCUACAACUCCCUGAGCAUGGUUCUGGUGAGGCGUAGUUCGGGUCAAAAACCCUCCCAACAACCCAAUUUCACCAAAAAGCCCAAACUUUUUUAGGCUGAAAAAGAGAAAUGGAUUAACCAUGCUGGCCCAAGCAAAACUCAUCCAAAGACUGGCAACCCAGGUAUGAAAGUCCAGAAGGUAAAAUGGGAAUGGAGAAAAAAGAAGACUUCUUUCUAGAGGCCUAUUAAUGCUAACAUCGAGAAUCAUAUUUCCUCACCCUCUAAAACACUUCAGACCAAAGACUUGGUUGCUUUUGCUUUCAUCUCAAAUGACUGGUCCAAAGAACUGGUUCUCUCGAUAAAACUCCUCUAAACCUUCUAGAUGAAUGCUUCCCCAUAUCUAGUAUGGAGAUUGUCUUGAGCAACACUGAGCCCAUUACCCCCACAUCGCAUGUGAUGACGGGCAAUGAUUUGGCUACAAUAUUCUCUUCUUUAGAACAACUUCUCCUCGAGAACAAGGAAUGUGACAUUCACUGUUUCUUCGGUUGGAUUCUAAAGAACAUUUUCGCGAUCGAUAAGUUUUUGGGGGCCUCUUUUUAUGGUUAUGAAAAAAGCAUUCACUCUCCCUUUACAAACUUGGAGAAGUGUGUCUCGGAAAAGAAAAAAUGUGAGUUGAUGAUUGAAUCGGGUGCAAAGAAAGAACAAAAAUGGGAGUGUAGGGAACUACGAAGGCUUCAUUCCUCAAUCAAUUAUGACAACAAAAGAGGAAAGAAUGAGGGAAGUGGAAAGGAAACAAGAAAGAACGAUAUUCUACCCCAAUGAUUGACAAAAUACUUUCUUGGAACGUUAGGGGUACUAACGGCUCAAAGAAACGAUUGAUUAUCAAGGGUUGUCUUAACAGAUGGAAGCCUUCCAUCAUUUGCCUACAUGAAACUAAAAUGGAAAUUAUUAAUGGGAGGCAUAUUAGAAGCCUAUGGAGCAUUACUGACAGUGGUUUGAAUUUUGUGCCUGCAAAGGGUGCCGCAGGAGGUAUUUUUUAAUGUGGAGGAAAGACAGAGUUCAUUGCCAAGAUUUUCUUCCGGGUGAGAUCACUCUUGCUUGUCUAUUCUUUAACUUAUCUAAUGGGGACACAUGGUAUUUUGUUGGUGUAUAUUGCAGAGGUAACCCAUCCGAGAAAAACACUCUAGUAGAGGAACUUUUUCACCUAAAAGGCUUAUGGGGUAACAAUUGUAUUAUCGGUGGUGAUUUCAACAUGGUGCUCAAGAGGUCUGAAAGAUCUGGCUUCGGCUGUAGUGAUUCUGAUAUUGAAGAAUUUCAUUCUCUGAUUAACAGACUAGAUAUCAAUGACAUUCCCCUCACGGGUGGUAAUUGGACUUGGAAUAAUCAAAGAGACCAACGUUCCUUCUUCAGAAUUGACAGGUUCCUCAUCUCCUCCAACAUCCUCAUGUCCUCCCCAAACAUUAUUCAAAAGGUGUUGCCCAGACCCACCUCCAAUAAUUUCUCCAUCCUUGGGGCCCCAUACUCUUCCGAAUAGAUAAGAAAUGGUUCGAUGUUGAGAGUUUCAAAGUUCUGCUCACUGACACUUGGAAUAAUGCUCAAAUGAGAGGCACUACAAGCUACAUAAUUGUACAUAAAUUGAUCAAAUUAAAGACCGAGAUCAAGAAGUGGGUCAAGACCAUCGAGAAAAGGGAAGAAUAGAAAACAAAUGAGAUUUUGGCAGACAUUGAUUCUAUAACAGAUUGGGAAAAGCUCAAAAUCUGACCCUUGCGGACAAAGAUAAAAAGAAUAGUUUGAAGGUUGAGUUAGCACAAUGGUUACACAUGGAGGCCAUCUCCUGGAAGCAGAAAUUCAGAGAAAAGUGAAUCAAAGACAGGGACAAGAAUACUAAAUAUUUUCACAUGCUUGCCAAUUACAGAAGAAGAGUUAAUUAUAUUGAAGAACUCCUAAUCAAUGUCUGCCCCACCAAAGGAAAUAAUAGUUUGAGAGAAGGGGGCAAGAAUCAUUUCAUGAAUCUCUAUACUGAAUGCAUCUCUUCCAGACCCCGUUUGGAUGACUUAUCUUUUAAUAUGCUGAAUGAGAUUGAUUGUACUUCACUAGAAAUGAAAUUAACUGAAGAGGAAAUUUUGAAUAACCUGCAGGACUAUGAUGGUGUUAAGGCUCCUAGGCCUGACAAUUUCAACUUAAAAUUCGUUCAAACUUUCUAGAAUGUUCUAAAGGAUGACAUUUUGGAUUUCUUCUCUGCCUUUCAAAAAAAUAGAUCUUUUGUCAAAGCUCUCAACUCUACAUUUCUAAUUAUGAUCUCCAAGAAAUCAGGACUUUCUUGCAUUAAUGAUUUUUGCCCCAUCAAUUGGGAGCAUCUACAAGCUUCUCUCCAAGGUGCUUGCAAAUAUAUUUGCUAAAAUUCUACACAAAGUUAUUGGUGAGUGCGAACACGCCUUCAUCUAUGGAAGACAGAUUUCCGACUCCAUCCUGAUUGCAAAUGAAGUAGUUGAUGAAAUUAACAGGAAAAACUUGAAAGGUACCUUAUUCCAAGUUUUUCAAUGCAUCCAAAGGAUUAAGACAAGAUGAUCCAUUUUCUUCCCUUUUGUUUAUAAUUGUGAUAGAAGCGCUUAAUAAACUAAUUGAAAGAGCUAAAGACCUGCAUUUUUUCAAAGGUGUAUCACAUUCGGGAAGGGUCCAAACUAAGUUGAGCUGUCUCACGUAUUUUUUGCAGAUGACACACUCAUAUUCUAUCAACUAGAUAUAAGCUUCCUACUCUUUCUCAAAUGCACAUCCCUCUGUUUUCAAGCGAUCUCUGGUCUCAAGAUUAACCUUAAUAAAUCAGAACUAGUGGUACUUGGUGACUUGGGUGGGAAUGGUCUUGUUCAAGUUUUGGGCUGCAAGCUAACACAACUCCCUAUCACUACUUAGGGAUCCUGCUUGGAGCAAAAUUUAAAGAUAAACAAUGUUGGGAUCUAUUAGGAAACUCCUUAGGAUUUAUUACAUAAAGAAGGGUAAAAAAGGAAAUAUACGUAUAAAAAGGUAGAAUAGGAAAAACGCAGAACAAUUGGGAUUAGGGUUGACCAACCCUAACAGGACUCCACAGCCGACGCCUCUGCCUUUCAAAUCCAUUUCGUAGACGACACCGAUCAUCAUCAUUACGUGAUUCCUGCCCCCAAACUCCAGCAAGCUUGAUACCGCCUUGAAUAAUGAUUUUAUUUAAUGUAUUUAGGCCUAUAAAAUGGCCCCUUUCAUCGACUGUAAGCACAUCAAAAAUCAAUGAAAAAAGUCUUCUACUUUCUCCCUUUAUCAUUCUUCAUCUUCUCUGUUUUCUUCUUCUUCUCCAUUAAACCUUCACAAGAUCAGAACCAUGUCCAAGGCUUCUGACAAGCUGGUAUACCAAAUCAUAUGCCGACAUUACCACUCGAACACAGUCGAAGGGUAAGGCUUUGGUGAUCGAACUAGAAAAUCUUUAAUCACUUACUGUAAAAGAAGUCGAUUUGAAGUUAGCAGCAUUCAUGGAUGAAUCACGCAAACAGUUCAACGUGAUACUCGAGCUGCUCCGAGGCGGAAUCACUGACCAGGCUGAAGGAAACUCGACGCGACAGGAAGUCGAGACCCAUUCGGGUGGAGGCCUUCUUCCUUUCCCAUACGACGCAAAUGCAGGAAAACAAGGGUUCAGAGCUCCUUUUGUUGCCGAUCCCGCUGCCUUGAAUCGGAACCAACCAUACAGCAGACCGGAUCACGACGAACCCGGCCGAACUAGCUCGAACCACUACAUCCCUAUAGUUGGGCGAAGUUGCCGAUGUAUGGUAUCAUGGAUGGCUAGUGAAGUUUGAUACACUAGAUCAGGAAUAUUUCGUGGAAGAACUAUCCUGACGAUUUUAGAGGACCUUCUUGAAAAGAUUUCAUAGAAGAGUUCACCAAAUUAUACCAAAUAGGUACCGUUCUCAAAUUUGUUAAAUAAUUUGAAUAUUCACAUUCUUUUAUAGAUGCAUAUAACCCUACACUUUUAGAGAUAUUUUUUAUAUUCACUUUUAUCAGUGGCUUCAAGUCAUAGCUACAAUUCAUGAUAAGGAUUCUCAAGCCACAAAUGCUCAACCAAACAUUCGAACAGGCCUUGCUGAGAAUAAUCAGUCAUAAAGCUCCGCAUUCCUUAUCUUCCUAGUUAUGAGACUCCCUCAUCAGAAAGAGACCGAUACCAUGAUAGAUCCUUCAGGAGCAUGGGGAAAUGAGCAGAUCCUAGAAGAUCAACAAUUUGUUAUAAAUGUGGAAAUAGAUAUUUUUCAAGGCACCGAUACUCCAACAAAGCAGUCAUAGCAGUGGAGGAGAUCAUGCCAGAAGAGAUUCCGGAGAACAAAGCCUUUGAGGACGCUAAAGAUGUUGGCGAUGACCUUACUAGCACUUUGUCCCAACAAGCAAUAGAAGGGGUCAUCACAUGGAGCACCCUGAAAAUACAAGAAAACUUAUCAGAUCAUGAUGUGUUGGUACUACUGGAUAGUGGAAGCUUACAUUCAUUCCUGGACAAAGUAGCUUCUAAAUGGAUUAAGAAUCAGGUGGUCAACAGUAAACCCCUAACAGUUAUGGUUGCCAACAAGCAAAAGAUAUUUAAUCACCUUGAAUACCCAUAUGUGACGUGGAUCAUGCAAGGCUGUUCACCUACAAUUUCCACAUCAUUUCACUGGGAGGGUAUGAUAUUAUAUUAGGGUUUGACUAGAUAAAGCAAUUCGGCCCUAUGAUGUUUGACUUCCUCCACACAACUGUACAAUUUAAUUAUGAAAAUUUAUAAAUAUCAUUGUAGGGUUGUGACUUCCUCGAAGCAUCCGAGGCAAGAGAAAUAAAGGCGAAACAUUGGGUCAAACAUAAGCAAGCGGUUGAAGGUGGAACAAUAUUUCUAAUAAUGAAAGUUUCUGAUAAGGUACCUACUUUCGAGAUGCCUAACCCAGCACUAAAAGCACUACUUAAGAUAAUAUCAGGAUGUCUUUCAGGAACCCCAUGGAUUGCCAUCAGCCAAAGCCUUCGAUCAUGUCAUCACUUUGUCCAAACAUAAUGCUGCCGUAAAUAUUCAACCCUACAGGUAUUGUUCAAUCAGAAGAACGAAAUAGAAAAGCAGAUACAACAAAUGCUGAAGGACUCAUUAAUACGGCCCAGCCGUAGCCCAUUCUCUUUACCAGUACUGCUCGUCAAAAAGAAAGAUGGUAUGUGGAGGCUUUAUGUGGACUAUAGAGAACUAAACUCUCUGACCGUAAAAGAUAAGUUCCACAUACCCAUCAUUAACGAUCUUAUUGAUGAAUUAUAAGGAGCAAAUAUUUUUUCUAAAAUUGAUCUUAGAGCAGGAUAUUAUCAAAUCAGGGUCAAGGAAGAGAAGAUCUACAAGACGGCCUUUAGAACACACUAAGGUUAUUAUGAAUUCAGGGUGAUGCCUUUCAGCUUGACCAACGCCCCCGCUAUCUUCCAGGCUCUCAUAAAUCAUAUAUUCAAGGCUUUUUUCCGAAUGUUUGUAUUGGUCUUCUUUGAUGAUAUCUUAGUUUAUAGUACCACUGAGCAGGAGCACUUUAUUCAUCUGAACGAAGUUCUAAAGACACUCCGAGAUAACAGGUUGUAUGCAUAGUAAUCCAAGUGUUGUUUUUUUUAGAUAGAUGUGGAGUAUUUAGGGCAUAUCAUCUUGAAUCACUUUUUGGGUCAUUUGAAAAGAAAGAAACAACCGAGUUUUUAAAGGAAAAUAAGUCGAUUUUAACGUCAUUUUAGACAUAUGGUUUCAUUACUUUGGUUCUAUUGUUUUGGUCAUUCUAUUGACUGUCUAAAUGACUUAGCUUACAUUGUUGAUAUGCUAACCAAUUUGUAAAACUUUUGUAUAUGAGUGGUGCUUCCUUGGUACCAUUACUCAAUACUAAUCUUACACUUUUAUUUCGAAGAAAAAACUAUUAUAGUUGGUUGUUAGCAAUUUUCUCUACCAUUCCUUGCUUAGCUUAGCUAUUAUGUUAAAAGUUGUUGCUUUGAUCAAAUGAAUACAUUUAUCAGAGUAGAGUAAGGUCGUCUUUUUACUUGGUACCAAAGUAAAUGAAGUCUCAUUGCCAAGAAAAUAGAAGCAAUCUUGUGCAGAUUUGUAUGGGUGAUCAGAGGAGAAAAGGAAAUAUCACUUGAUGACAUGGGAAGUGAUUAAAAGGUAGUUUAAUCAGGGGGGACUCGGUCUUAGAUCAGUAACGGAGAUGAAUAGGACACUCUAGGGGAAAUAGUUAUGGAGGUUAUGAAAGAAAAGGAUACACUAUGGCAAAGGGUUAUUGAGACUAAAUUUAGUGUGGUAGAUAGAGGCAGGUACUCUAGUGUUCUUACUAGACCACUCGGGAAAAGAUUGUGCAAAAAUAUUUACAUGGGAGGAGAUAAAUUUAGGGAGUGCGUCAAAUGGAAAAUAGGGAAUGGGGAGAGUAUUGGUUUCUGGGUGGAUGCUUGGAGUGAAGGAAGUGUGUUGAAAGACAGAUUCACUCAUAUUUUUGCUAUUGUUAGAUAAAAGGGUAUGUCAGUUAAAGAGGCAUAUAGGUAGAAUGCAGGAGGGAGAGUGUGGCAUGUGGAGGUGGUGAGGAACCUUAAUGACUGCGAGAUUAAUGAAUAUGAAUCAUUUUUGAGCUCUUUGUAUUCUGUAUUUCUUAAUGAGAAUUAUGACAAAUUAGUUUGGUCCCCUAGUUUAACAGGGGGAACUUCACAGGUAAACCAUCUUAUAAAUAUUUAACUACAGAACUCGAAGAGAGCAAUUUUCCAUGUAGACAUAUUUAGAAUGUGAAUGCACCUCUCAAGGUAGCUUUUUUUGCUUGGGAAACAACCUGUGGAUGCAUUCCGAUCAUUGAUAAGUUGAUGGGAAGAGGGAGGAUCAUGAUUAAUUAGUGUUGCUUAUGUAUGAGAGCAGAAGAGGCCUGUGUUCACAUUCUUCUUUGUUGCCCUAUAUCGUAUAUUUUAUAGACAAUGGCUUAAUGGGAUUUUGGGAUAUAGCUGAGCUAUGACGGUUAGUGUAAGAGAUGAAAUUUGGGCUUGGAAGAGUAUUACUGGUCGGAGAAAACAAUUGGGGUUCAUUCCUUCAGAAAUAUUUGGGUUAUUUGGAAAGAAAGAAAUAGGAGAAUGUUCGAUGGAGUGGAAGAGGAUCUGGAUACAAGUAGAGCGAGAUGGUUUCAGAUCUUGAGUCUUUUUGUAAGUGGUUCAUUCUUUUAUUAUUAUGGAGGAUUUUGGUGAUUUCAUAGACAUUAGCUGAUUUAUAAAUACUUUUAUACCUGAGUUUGCACUUCCUUGGUGCAUAUAAUCAAUGAAUUUAGACUUUUCAUUUCAAAAACGAAAAAAGUAAAUGAUGUCUUAUGGACGACACUCAUUUUUAGUUUUUCUUUGUUCAUGUCUUGGUUGUAUGUAAAAUAUCUAGUUGAAGUUUCAAGUAAUAAAGUUUACUUUGUGUUGCAUUUGUGUUUUCNNNNNNNNNNNNNNNNNNNNNNNNNNNNNNNNNNNNNNNNNNNNNNNNNNNNNNNNNNNNNNNNNNNNNNNNNNNNNNNNNNNNNNNNNNNNNNNNNNNNNNNNNNNNNNNNNNNNNNNNNNNNNNNNNNNNNNNNNNNNNNNNNNNNNNNNNNNNNNNNNNNNNNNNNNNNNNNNNNNNNNNNNNNNNNNNNNNNNNNNNNNNNNNNNNNNNNNNNNNNNNNNNNNNNNNNNNNNNNNNNNNNNNNNNNNNNNNNNNNNNNNNNNNNNNNNNNNNNNNNNNNNNNNNNNNNNNNNNNNNNNNNNNNNNNNNNNNGUGAUAGUCAAACUUUUUCUCUUGCUUUGUUUUUUGUUUAUAGUAAAAAGAAUCAUAUUAGAUAUCUAUCCAACUUAUUUGAGCUUGAUACUUGCUCAUUUUUAGAUUAUACUUGAAGCUUGUUUUUAGACCUUGAUAAUAUUAAUAAUUAGUAUACUUGGUAAGUUUUUUAACAAUUCAUUCUUGUUAAUAUGUAGUUUCCACAAUGGUGAAGACUAGAAACAUGUGUAGACAUGUUGCUUUUACACAAAUCAAGUACAAAAUGAUGCUUUAGGUUGUAACCAUAAUAAAGCUCAAUACUAGCUUUUUAGAUUAUGCAAGACCAACUGCACCGUGAUGGCUUUAUAGUUGAUGGAAUCUUUGAACUUAUCAUUCUUGCUUUUUUUUUUCUUUUGCAGUAAAAUACUAUAGUAUAGAAUCAAAUGUAAUUAGUCUACGUAUUUAAGUAUUUAAGGGUAACAUAUACAUAUCACACUAGGGAUGGCAAUGAGGCAGGUUUAAGGGUGGACUAAAUUUGAACCCAACUCGCCCUUAUAGUAUAUAAACCCAAACCUGGAACGAGUCUAAACAUUUAUUUUCCUUUUGUAUCGUGUUGGCUUUGUUGGUUAACCAACCUACGUCCUGAUCCGGUCAUUAAGAAC
RNAcentral lists this long non-coding RNA (13748 nucleotides) under Carica papaya (papaya). RNAcentral describes it as "long non-coding RNA (CPAP_LNC008389)". The record is from RNAcentral. Lineage: Eukaryota; Viridiplantae; Streptophyta; Magnoliopsida; Brassicales; Caricaceae.